CCGUCUCCGAGCCGGAGCCCGGAAGCGCGGCCGCGCAGUCGCCAAGGGGACGACCUUUCUUCCGGUGCGCGUGGGCGUGGCUUUCGGCCCCUCGCGGCGCGGUCUCAGUGCUUGGGUCGGUGUUAGAACCAGGAGGCCAGGCCGGACGCAGACGCCACGGAUCGUUUUGGCCAUUGUUCAGGACAGGGUUCCACCUACGGGAACGGACCCACUUUCCUAGUGGAAAAUGAGCCUCUGAACGAAGGAAGGGCCUGGGCUUGUAUGGGUCAUCCUGGGCGGUGGCCAAGGGGGCAUGUCAGUUUUCUUGGGCACCCAGGAAUUUGGGCUUCCUUCUAUCAAUCAUGGAGGAGUCAGUUGGAGUGCUUAGGAGUUUGAGCUCUGAGGUCAGGGGUCUGUGCUCCACAUCUGGAAAGGAUUCGCUCCGAGGGUGGUCAGUGUCCCUCAGAGGCUGUCGCCUGGUGUGAUGAGACCCCUCCUUCCUGCCUGCAGUUAGCGCCAGGAAAACAUCUGCUUUCUGAAAGCUGUCAGUGCAUGGCUUUCCUUUUUACUCCCCUUUUCUCAGGCCAUUAUUUUGGGCAUUUUCCAUUUUCCCUAUCAGUUGGGGGUCCUGGGGAGCUGGGCGCAGGCGCAGCUGGAGGCUGGACAACCCAGCAGGGAGGCUGCCUGGAGAUAGAGGCUCCCUAUCUGCAGGCGGUAAGAACAUCAGACCCCUAUGUGAACAUAGCUCCUGCAAGCAGUCACAGUGGUGGUCUCUGGAGGUCGAUUCCAAGGGAUUGGGGGUUUCAUCUUUACUCCAUGCCCUUCUGUAUAUUCUACAUAUCCUUCAUUGCUCUUUGUAGCCGUCAAAGUGACCAAGAGUGAACAUCGUUAUUGAGGUCUAAUCUGCAAGUAGUGCUGUGUACCGUCCGGAGAAAUAGAAAGUCUGGUGGUUCACGUUCAGAAAAUAGUGUUCAGCCUUAAUUGGAUCCAACUGUAGCCUUUCCCCUUUGCUUGCCCAAUUCUAAAACUAGCAAAUUGGGUAGAUUGUACCACCGAGCACCUCCAAUCAGGGCACAGGGCCUGGCUGUGUUAGGUAUAUUAGUGGGUGGACUGCUAGUGGGGUGCGCUUGCAGUAUGGGUGUGCUGAGGGCAGGUGCCUACCCAGGGUUAUCCUGCAGUGUCCACAUUGCACAACUGCCAAGGCCAUAACAAGGCGCUGGAGAGCUACUGCAGUCCUGUGGCUGGUGGCAGAAUUGCAUGGGUAAGGUGCCAGGCUGCUCCCACUUCAGGGCCCCAGGUUAGCCUUGCCACUGUAGUGAACCUCCAGGAAAGCUGCAGUCUGGAAGCUUCUGAAGGUCCCCAGCCACACUCCUUCCUGGUUAGAGCAUCUUCCUGCUGCAGGAAUGUACCUGCUCUCCAGAAGUGCCACUGCCUGUAUCAGCCAAGCUCUCGGCCCCCGUUUGGACCUGCAUUCAUGCAGGCCGGCCUCCCUCCAGCCUUCCUUCCUUCCUUCUUCCUUUCAGCGUGCUGGAAUUGUGUGAGUGCUUCUAUGAUACAAACCUCUAGGUGUGGAAAUUCUGGGUGAAUUAUGGAAUUGUGGUAGAUUCCAACAAAAUGUUCCACAGCAUUGUACCAAAUGUCCUGGUGUGGGAAAGCCUGUGUCUUUCAGCCUCUUCUGCUGCAUGCUGCCAGGAUGAGUCACCACCGUGGGUGGAUUUUCACUCCCUCGAGGUCUUCCCUGAACAGUUUCACCUGCCUGUGGAGAGAAGCGCCUCCAGAGGCUGCCACAUUCCAGCCCCUGACCUUACCGGAGAAGGGCCUGGCUGACUCCAGCCCAUAUGACCCCUGCCAUUGCCUGCAUGUUGUGCAUGGAGGACCAGGGCCCAGGACAGAAGGAAAUGGAAGAUGUGGGAGGGUGCAGCCCCACUGACCAGAGGCCAUGCUUCACUAUUCAAGCACAGCUUGACAAGUCCCUGGACAAUCCUGUGCUACCCUUCCAUCCAAGCCCCCAGGGAGCCUGCAGCUGUGCUGAAUUACACUUGGUCACAGUGGCUAAAAAUGUGUUGAGGCUAGGCCAACUCCUCAGAUGGCAGGCCUGGUGGCUCAGGUCCCAGCCAUGUCAGCAAAGACUCGCGAACUCCCCUGCCUUAGCCCCUCCAUGCCUUAGCCCCUCCAUGCCUAUCUGAGAUGGGAAUUUUUCUUGAGUCCAGUUGUUAGGACAGAAACCCAACCCCAAACUGCUUAAACAACCAAGGGAAUUUAUGACCUAAGUGAUGAAAAGUUGAGAGGAAAGUUGGAUCUCAGGUGAGACUUGAUCCAGUAGCUCAACAAUAUUUCUGAGAACAAA
Molecule: long non-coding RNA, 2326 nt
Organism: Ictidomys tridecemlineatus (thirteen-lined ground squirrel)
Lineage: Eukaryota; Metazoa; Chordata; Mammalia; Rodentia; Sciuridae
Source: RefSeq, a predicted model, not a curated record